Molecule: ribosomal RNA, 497 nt
Filed under: uncultured bacterium
Lineage: Bacteria
Description: partial 16S ribosomal RNA
Rfam family: Bacterial small subunit ribosomal RNA
Source: RNAcentral
GAUGAACGCUGGCGGCGUGCCUAAUACAUGCAAGUCGAGCGAACGGACGAGAAGCUUGCUUCUCUGAUGUUAGCGGCGGACGGGUGAGUAACACGUGGAUAACCUACCUAUAAGACUGGGAUAACUUCGGGAAACCGGAGCUAAUACCGGAUGAUAUUUUGAACCGCAUUGUUCAAAAGUGAAAGACGGUCUUGCUGUCUCUUAUAGAUGGAUCUGCGCUGCAUUAGCUAGUUGGUAAGGUAACGGCUUACCAAGGCAACGAUGCAUAGCCGACCUGAGAGGGUGAUCGGCCACACUGGAACUGAGACACGGUCCAGACUCCUACGGGAGGCAGCAGUAGGCAAUCUUCCGCAAUGGGCGAAAGCCUGACGGAGCAACGCCGCGUGAGUGAUGAAGGUCUUCGGAUCGUAAAACUCUGUUAUUAGGGAAGAACAUAUGUGUAAGUAACUGUGCACAUCUUGACGGUACCUAAUCAGAAAGCCACGGCUAACUACGUG